CGGGGCUUCGCGCUCGACUCUCCCACCCUUUGUGAACGUACCUCUGUUGCUUUGGCGGCUCCGGCCGCCAAAGGACCUCCAAACUCCAGUCAGUAAACGCAGACGUCUGAUAAACAAGUUAAUAAACUAAAACUUUCAACAACGGAUCUCUUGGUUCUGGCAUCGAUGAAGAACGCAGCGAAAUGCGAUAAGUAAUGUGAAUUGCAGAAUUCAGUGAAUCAUCGAAUCUUUGAACGCACAUUGCGCCCCUUGGUAUUCCGGGGGGCAUGCCUGUUCGAGCGUCAUUACAACCCUCAAGCUCUGCUUGGAAUUGGGCACCGUCCUCACUGCGGACGCGCCUCAAAGACCUCGGCGGUGGCUGUUCAGCCCUCAAGCGUAGUAGAAUACACCUCGCUUUGGAGUGGUUGGCGUCGCCCGCCGGACGAACCUUCUGAACUUUUCUCAAGGUUGACCUCGGAUCAGGUAGGGAUACCCGCUGAACUUAAGCAUAUCAAUAAGCGGAGGAAC
Molecule: ribosomal RNA, 507 nt
Filed under: Lasiodiplodia theobromae
Lineage: Eukaryota; Fungi; Ascomycota; Dothideomycetes; Botryosphaeriales; Botryosphaeriaceae
Description: eukaryotic LSU rRNA
Rfam family: 5.8S ribosomal RNA (bases 131-284)
Source: RNAcentral